UAGGAAUGCCCUAGUAAGUUAGUGAUUGUGA
RNAcentral lists this non-coding RNA (31 nucleotides) under Mus musculus (house mouse). Lineage: Eukaryota; Metazoa; Chordata; Mammalia; Rodentia; Muridae. The record is from RNAcentral.